Molecule: long non-coding RNA, 585 nt
Filed under: Phaseolus vulgaris (common bean)
Lineage: Eukaryota; Viridiplantae; Streptophyta; Magnoliopsida; Fabales; Fabaceae
Description: long non-coding RNA (PVUL_LNC002081)
Source: RNAcentral
GGUAGGUGGGAACUGGUGGCGGUGGGGAGUGGUAGACUGGGUGGGGGUGAGGGUAGCGGUGCCUGUGCACUGGUGGAGGAGGGGAAGAGUAUUUGUAUGACUUCUUAGGAGGGGGUGGAGGAGAGUGGUAAACUGGGUGUGGGUGAGGGUAAGGCUUGUGCACUGGUGGUGGGGGAGAUGGGUAUUUGUAUGGCUUCUUUGGUGGUGGAGGUGGUGGGGAGUGGUAGAUUGGGUGAGGGUGAGGGUGAGGGUGUGGGUGAGGGUAAUGGUGAGGAGGGGGUGGAGGAGAUUGGUAGACUGGGUGUGGAUGAGGGUAGGGCUUGUGCACUGGUGGUGGUGGAGAUUGGUAGACUGGGUGUGGAUGAGGGUAGGGCUUGUGCACUGGUGGUGGUGGAGAUGGGUAGUGGUAGGGAGGUGGUGGUGAGGAGACUGGUGGAGGUGGAGGAGAGGAGUAGGAGUAGUGGUUGCCGGAGAUUUGAGAUGGGAGGCUGAAAAGGAUAAUGGCAAAUGCAAGAGUGAUAGAAGCAGAGGCCAUUAGGGACCCCAUUUUCCUCCAACUGAGUUUUGGUUAUGCUCUAAAGUGAG